UGGGGAAUAUUGCACAAUGGGCGCAAGCCUGAUGCAGCCAUGCCGCGUGUAUGAAGAAGGCCUUCGGGUUGUAAAGUACUUUCAGCGAGGAGGAAGGCGUUGUGGUUAAUAACCGCAACGAUUGACGUUACUCGCAGAAGAAGCACCGGCUAACUCCGUGCCAGCAGCCGCGGUAAUACGGAGGGUGCAAGCGUUAAUCGGAAUUACUGGGCGUAAAGCGCACGCAGGCGGUCCGUCAAGUCGGAUGUGAAAUCCCCGGGCUCAACCUGGGAACUGCAUCCGAAACUGGCAGGCUAGAGUCUUGUAGAGGGGGGUAGAAUUCCAGGUGUAGCGGUGAAAUGCGUAGAGAUCUGGAGGAAUACCGGUGGCGAAGGCGGCCCCCUGGACAAAGACUGACGCUCAGGUGCGAAAGCGUGGGGAGCAAACA
This 427-nucleotide ribosomal RNA is filed under the name uncultured bacterium. Its description in RNAcentral is "partial 16S ribosomal RNA". It matches the Rfam family "Bacterial small subunit ribosomal RNA", at positions 355 to 774 of the family's 1533-position model. The record is from RNAcentral.